Molecule: ribosomal RNA, 376 nt
Filed under: uncultured bacterium
Lineage: Bacteria
Description: bacterial SSU rRNA
Rfam family: Bacterial small subunit ribosomal RNA
Source: RNAcentral
AGUAGGGCAUAGCCCGGCGAAAGUCGGAUUAAUACCCUAUGUUCUUCGUAGAGGCCAUCUGAAAUGAAGCAAAGGUUUACCGCUAGGGGAUGGGGAUGCGUACGAUUAGCUGGUUGGCGGGGUAACGGCCCACCAAGGCGACGAUCGUUAGGGGUUCUGAGAGGAAGGUCCCCCACACUGGUACUGAGACACGGACCAGACUCCUACGGGAGGCAGCAGUGAGGAAUAUUGGUCAAUGGGCGCAAGCCUGAACCAGCCAAGUAGCGUGCAGGAAGACGGCCCUACGGGUUGUAAACUGCUUUUAUAUGGGGAUAAAUUGAGGGACGUGUCCCUUUUUGUAGGUACCAUAUGAAUAAGGACCGGCUAAUUCCGUGCC